RNAcentral lists this ribosomal RNA (253 nucleotides) under uncultured bacterium. RNAcentral describes it as "partial 16S ribosomal RNA". It matches the Rfam family "Bacterial small subunit ribosomal RNA", at positions 524 to 776 of the family's 1533-position model. The record is from RNAcentral.
UACGAAGGGGGCUAGCGUUGCUCGGAAUCACUGGGCGUAAAGGGUGCGUAGGCGGGGCUUUAAGUCAGGGGUGAAAUCCUGGAGCUCAACUCCAGAACUGCCUUUGAUACUGAGGAUCUUGAGUUCGGGAGAGGUGAGUGGAACUGCGAGUGUAGAGGUGAAAUUCGUAGAUAUUCGCAAGAACACCAGUGGCGAAGGCGGCUCACUGGCCCGAUACUGACGCUGAGGCACGAAAGCUAGGGGAGCAAACAGG